GGUCAUUGACCUCACCGGAGUUUUACCGUGGUUCAGGCUCCUAACGACACAAGACUUUGCUGCAAUAUGUCAUCUGACGAUGAUGAAAGGAAUAUGAUGAUAAUAACAUUGUUCAACAAAGGCUUAAAACAAAAGGAAAUCAGCUGUGCACUGAAUUCAUAUGGGCAUAAAAUAAGUGAGAGGCAUCUGAGACGAGUUUUAAAACUUCUAGGGUUGAAGCGAAGAUGCCCCCAACGACCUUUUACUGAAAUCCACAAAGCUGUGGAGAGUGAGAUGAAACAGUGGUCUCCUGAAC
This is a non-coding RNA of Maylandia zebra (zebra mbuna), 295 nucleotides long. NCBI's taxonomy places the organism in Eukaryota, Metazoa, Chordata, Actinopteri, Cichliformes, Cichlidae. The record is from RefSeq and is a predicted model, not a curated record.